UUAAGUUAUUAAGGGCGCACGGUGGAUGCCUUGGCACUAGAAGCCGAUGAAGGACGUUACUAACGACGAUAUGCUUUGGGGAGCUGUAAGUAAGCUUUGAUCCAGAGAUUUCCGAAUGGGGAAACCCAGCAUGAGUUAUGUCAUGUUAUCGAUAUGUGAAUACAUAGCAUAUCAGAAGGCACACCCGGAGAACUGAAACAUCUUAGUACCCGGAGGAAGAGAAAGAAAAUUCGAUUCCCUUAGUAGCGGCGAGCGAAACGGGAAGAGCCCAAACCAACAAGCUUGCUUGUUGGGGUUGUAGGACACUCUAUACGGAGUUACAAAGGACGACAUUAGACGAAUCAUCUGGAAAGAUGAAUCAAAGAAGGUAAUAAUCCUGUAGUCGAAAAUGUUGUCUCUCUUGAGUGGAUCCUGAGUACGACGGAGCACGUGAAAUUCCGUCAGAAUCUGGGAGGACCAUCUCCUAAGGCUAAAUACUCUCUAGUGACCGAUAGUGAACCAGUACCGUGAGGGAAAGGUGAAAAGCACCCCGGAAGGGGAGUGAAAUAGAACCUGAAACCGUGUGCUUACAAGUAGUCAGAGCCCGUUAAUGGGUGAUGGCGUGCCUUUUGUAGAAUGAACCGGCGAGUUACGAUUUGAUGCAAGGUUAAGCAGUAAAUGUGGAGCCGUAGCGAAAGCGAGUCUGAAUAGGGCGUUUAGUAUUUGGUCGUAGACCCGAAACCAGGUGAUCUACCCUUGGUCAGGUUGAAGUUCAGGUAACACUGAAUGGAGGACCGAACCGACUUACGUUGAAAAGUGAGCGGAUGAACUGAGGGUAGCGGAGAAAUUCCAAUCGAACCUGGAGAUAGCUGGUUCUCUCCGAAAUAGCUUUAGGGCUAGCCUCAAGUGAUGAUUAUUGGAGGUAGAGCACUGUUUGGACGAGGGGCCCCUCUCGGGUUACCGAAUUCAGACAAACUCCGAAUGCCAAUUAAUUUAACUUGGGAGUCAGAACAUGGGUGAUAAGGUCCGUGUUCGAAAGGGAAACAGCCCAGACCACCAGCUAAGGUCCCAAAAUAUAUGUUAAGUGGAAAAGGAUGUGGCGUUGCCCAGACAACUAGGAUGUUGGCUUAGAAGCAGCCAUCAUUUAAAGAGUGCGUAAUAGCUCACUAGUCGAGUGACACUGCGCCGAAAAUGUACCGGGGCUAAACAUAUUACCGAAGCUGUGGAUUGUCCUUUGGACAAUGGUAGGAGAGCGUUCUAAGGGCGUUGAAGCAUGAUCGUAAGGACAUGUGGAGCGCUUAGAAGUGAGAAUGCCGGUGUGAGUAGCGAAAGACGGGUGAGAAUCCCGUCCACCGAUUGACUAAGGUUUCCAGAGGAAGGCUCGUCCGCUCUGGGUUAGUCGGGUCCUAAGCUGAGGCCGACAGGCGUAGGCGAUGGAUAACAGGUUGAUAUUCCUGUACCACCUAUAAUCGUUUUAAUCGAUGGGGGGACGCAGUAGGAUAGGCGAAGCGUGCGAUUGGAUUGCACGUCUAAGCAGUAAGGCUGAGUAUUAGGCAAAUCCGGUACUCGUUAAGGCUGAGCUGUGAUGGGGAGAAGACAUUGUGUCUUCGAGUCGUUGAUUUCACACUGCCGAGAAAAGCCUCUAGAUAGAAAAUAGGUGCCCGUACCGCAAACCGACACAGGUAGUCAAGAUGAGAAUUCUAAGGUGAGCGAGCGAACUCUCGUUAAGGAACUCGGCAAAAUGACCCCGUAACUUCGGGAGAAGGGGUGCUCUUUAGGGUUAACGCCCAGAAGAGCCGCAGUGAAUAGGCCCAAGCGACUGUUUAUCAAAAACACAGGUCUCUGCUAAACCGUAAGGUGAUGUAUAGGGGCUGACGCCUGCCCGGUGCUGGAAGGUUAAGAGGAGUGGUUAGCUUCUGCGAAGCUACGAAUCGAAGCCCCAGUAAACGGCGGCCGUAACUAUAACGGUCCUAAGGUAGCGAAAUUCCUUGUCGGGUAAGUUCCGACCCGCACGAAAGGCGUAACGAUUUGGGCACUGUCUCAACGAGAGACUCGGUGAAAUCAUAGUACCUGUGAAGAUGCAGGUUACCCGCGACAGGACGGAAAGACCCCGUGGAGCUUUACUGUAGCCUGAUAUUGAAAUUCGGCACAGCUUGUACAGGAUAGGUAGGAGCCUUUGAAACGUGAGCGCUAGCUUACGUGGAGGCGCUGGUGGGAUACUACCCUAGCUGUGUUGGCUUUCUAACCCGCACCACUUAUCGUGGUGGGAGACAGUGUCAGGCGGGCAGUUUGACUGGGGCGGUCGCCUCCUAAAAGGUAACGGAGGCGCUCAAAGGUUCCCUCAGAAUGGUUGGAAAUCAUUCAUAGAGUGUAAAGGCAUAAGGGAGCUUGACUGCGAGACCUACAAGUCGAGCAGGGUCGAAAGACGGACUUAGUGAUCCGGUGGUUCCGCAUGGAAGGGCCAUCGCUCAACGGAUAAAAGCUACCCCGGGGAUAACAGGCUUAUCUCCCCCAAGAGUUCACAUCGACGGGGAGGUUUGGCACCUCGAUGUCGGCUCAUCGCAUCCUGGGGCUGUAGUCGGUCCCAAGGGUUGGGCUGUUCGCCCAUUAAAGCGGUACGCGAGCUGGGUUCAGAACGUCGUGAGACAGUUCGGUCCCUAUCCGUCGUGGGCGUAGGAAAUUUGAGAGGAGCUGUCCUUAGUACGAGAGGACCGGGAUGGACAUACCUCUGGUGUACCAGUUGUCGUGCCAACGGCAUAGCUGGGUAGCUAUGUGUGGACGGGAUAAGUGCUGAAAGCAUCUAAGCAUGAAGCCCCCCUCAAGAUGAGAUUUCCCAACUUCGGUUAUAAGAUCCCUCAAAGAUGAUGAGGUUAAUAGGUUCGAGGUGGAAGCAUGGUGACAUGUGGAGCUGACGAAUACUAAUCGAUCGAAGACUUAAUCAA
This 2921-nucleotide ribosomal RNA is filed under the name Staphylococcus aureus T45940. RNAcentral describes it as "bacterial LSU rRNA". It matches the Rfam family "Bacterial large subunit ribosomal RNA". Lineage: Bacteria; Bacillati; Bacillota; Bacilli; Caryophanales; Staphylococcaceae. The record is from RNAcentral.